Molecule: ribosomal RNA, 1413 nt
Filed under: uncultured Sporosarcina sp.
Lineage: Bacteria; Bacillati; Bacillota; Bacilli; Caryophanales; Caryophanaceae
Description: partial 16S ribosomal RNA
Rfam family: Bacterial small subunit ribosomal RNA
Source: RNAcentral
AGAGUUUGAUCCUGGCUCAGAACGAACGCUGGCGGCGUGCUUAACACAUGCAAGUCGUGCGCGACUGGGCUUCGGUCCAGUUGAGCGGCGAACGGGUGCGUAACACGUGGAUAAUCUGCCUUCGGGCCUGGAAUAACCUUCCGAAAGGAGGGCUAAUGCCGGAUAAGCUCACUAAGGACCUCGGUCCCGGUGGGAAAAGGUGGCCUCUAUUUAUAAGCUACUACCUGAAGAUGAGUCCGCGGCCCAUCAGCUAGUUGGCGGGGUAAUGGCCCACCAAGGCUUCGACGGGUAGCUGGUCUGAGAGGACGAUCAGCCACACUGGGACUGAGACACGGCCCAAACUCCUACGGGAGGCAGCAGUGGGGAAUCUUGCGCAAUGGGCGAAAGCCUGACGCAGCAACGCCGCGUGAGUGAUGAAGGUCUUUGGAUCGUAAAGCUCUUUCGGCUGGGAAGAAACGCCUCAUGGCUAAUAUCCAUGAGGUUUGACGGUACCAGCAGAAGAAGCACCGGCUAACUCUGUGCCAGCAGCCGCGGUAAUACAUAGGUGGCAAGCGUUGUCCGGAAUUAUUGGGCGUAAAGCGCGCGCAGACGGUCCUUUAAGUCUGAUGUGAAAGCCCACGGCUCAACCGUGGAGGGUCAUUGGAAACUGGAGGACUUGAGUACAGAAGAGGAAAGUGGAAUUCCACGUGUAGCGGUGAAAUGCGUAGAGAUGUGGAGGAACACCAGUGGCGAAGGCGACUUUCUGGUCUGUAACUGACGUUGAGGCGCGAAAGCGUGGGGAGCAAACAGGAUUAGAUACCCUGGUAGUCCACGCCGUAAACGAUGAGUGCUAAGUGUUAGGGGGUUUCCGCCCCUUAGUGCUGCAGCUAACGCAUUAAGCACUCCGCCUGGGGAGCACGGCCGCAAGGCUGAAACUCAAAGGAAUUGACGGGGACCCGCACAAGCGGUGGAGCAUGUGGUUUAAUUCGAAGCAACGCGAAGAACCUUACCAGGUCUUGACAUCCCGCUGACCGGCAUGGAGACAUGUCUUUCCCUUCGGGGACAGCGGUGACAGGUGGUGCAUGGUUGUCGUCAGCUCGUGUCGUGAGAUGUUGGGUUAAGUCCCGCAACGAGCGCAACCCUUGAUCUUAGUUGCCAGCAUUCAGUUGGGCACUCUAAGGUGACUGCCGGUGACAAACCGGAGGAAGGUGGGGAUGACGUCAAAUCAUCAUGCCCCUUAUGACCUGGGCUACACACGUGCUACAAUGGACGAUACAAAGGGCUGCGAACCCGCGAGGGGAAGCCAAUCCCAUAAAAUCGUUCCCAGUUCGGAUUGCAGGCUGCAACUCGCCUGCAUGAAGCCGGAAUCGCUAGUAAUCGUGGAUCAGCAUGCCACGGUGAAUACGUUCCCGGGUCUUGUACACACCGCCCGUC